Molecule: ribosomal RNA, 305 nt
Filed under: uncultured Chaetomella
Lineage: Eukaryota; Fungi; Ascomycota; Leotiomycetes
Description: eukaryotic LSU rRNA
Rfam family: 5.8S ribosomal RNA (bases 1-124)
Source: RNAcentral
GCAUCGAUGAAGAACGCAGCGAAAUGCGAUACGUAAUGUGAAUUGCAGACACCGUGAAUCAUCGAAUCUUUGAACGCACAUUGCGCCCUUUGGUAUUCCGAAGGGCAUGCCUGUUCGAGCGUCAUUACACCUUCUACAAAGGUUUUGGGGAUGGCACAGCCGCCCUUAAAAAGCUUGGUGGUAACUGGAACCCACGCACAGUAAUCUCUGCGAAGGCGACCAGGUAAACACCGAAAACUCUUCUGUUUGACCUCGGAUCAGGUAGGGAUACCCGCUGAACUUAAGCAUAUCAAUAAGCGGAGGAA